CUUAUUAAUCCUAGCCAAUCUAGAUGCUUCCUGAGCAAGCUUUUCAAAUAUAUCAUUAAUGAAACUGUUCAUUAUUCCCAUAGACUUGCUGGAAAUACCGAUAUCAGGAUGCACCUGCUUGAGCACCUUGAAGAUGUAGAUCUUGUAGGUUUCAACGCUCUUCUUUGUCCUCUUCUUCUUUUUGUCGACGGCGGCAUCCUUCGGGAGCUUCUUUCCGGCUUUCGGCUUCUUCUCUGCCGGAACUUCCUCGGCCUUCUUCUCCUCUACUGGUUUCUUCUCAGCAGGCUUUUUCCCUCCUGUCUUUGGUGCCAUUGUUGAGAUGUUUAACAGAAGGAAGAAAAGGAGUUUUGAUGAAGAGAAUGCGUGAGUGAUGAGGUAAUGAAUUGGGGGAAGUGAGUAUUAUAUAGGGUUUUGAUUCUGUUGUUUGAUUGGUUAUUAUCGGUUUACGCGGAUCGUGAUUAUGGACCGUUGAUGAAAAGGAGAAUGGACGUUCCGUAUUCUCUGUUUUAAUUGUUUACAAACUGAAAAGACAAAAGAAAAAAGUACUCCCCCAUUCACCUUUGUUUUACAAAAUAUACUACAUAUAUUUUCCCCUUUAGUUGUCCUCUUUAGGAUAUUAAGAUAAAAUAAUUGUUUUAUUUUAUAUUUAGUAUAAAUUAUUUUAAAAUUAAAUAACACAUAAAUAGAUAAAUAAUUAAAAGUUAAAAAGAAAUAUAUUAGUUAAACUACAUUUUUUAUUAAAAUUUUCAUUAUUAAUUGUAUAAAAUUUAUUGUGACAGUUAAAUGCAAACAAAGGAUAUAUUAUUUUCCAAGUUUGUUAACUCUAUACACUAUUGAAUAUGGCUACGGUAUUACAACCCACGCUACAUAGAUUAGGCAUACAGGUAUUUCAGCCCAUUGUAGUUGAGGGCGCGCUAUUUAUAUGCAUUCAUUAGUUUGCAAGGGAUUCAAGAUCGAUUUUGAUAGAGAGUAAAUGAUUGUUCAUGUACCUAUUUCCUUGGAGGCUUAAGUAGAGGCUCAUUUACUUAUCUUUUCUCAUGUGAAUCUUUUGUCUACAAUUAUUCGGGACCCCAUUUUCGCAUGACCGCAUCAACACAAGAUAUACUUAUUGGACUUUCAGCCUGUUGUAGUUCAAGGUGCGCUAUUUAUAUACAUUCAUUAGUUUGCAAGGGAUUCAAGGUCGAUUUUGAUAGAGAAUAAAUAAUUGUUCAUUUACCUAUUUCUUUGGAGGCUUAAGUAGAGGCUCAUUUACUUAUCUUUUCUCAUGUGAAUCUUUCGUCUACUAUCCCAUUUCCGCAUGACCGCAUCAACACAAGAUAUACUUAUGACUAUAUGUAUUAACAAGCAGAAAUCAUCGAAGUAUUAACUUAGGCAAUCCUCUUUAAAAAUAAAUCAUUCCUAAGAAAGAAGAGAUAGUUAAUAAAAAUCUCCAAAAAUAUGUAGUUUUUUAGUAAUUUUUUCAUUACGUAAAACUCUAUUUAGUUAAAUAAACAUAAAAUUAGAAUAACAUUAUUAAUAUCUUGCAGACUGUUACCUGAACGAGUAAAAAUAAAGUGAGAAAUUACAACCGGAAGAUCUUUUUUCUCCACAGAAUUAAACUGUGCAUGGAUUAGAAAACAAGAGAUAUUCUUUAGCUUCAUUAAAAAAAUGAUUUUAAAACGUUUUUAUUUCAUUUCAAUAUUAAAUAUCAAUCAAAUAUGCUCAUAAAAAAAUUAUAUAUAUAUAUAUAUAUAUGCCCAUUAUUGUUCCAUUUAGAACUUGCAUUUUACCAUUUAAAUUUUGUUUCUUAUAGCACAUAUAUGUUGAUAUCAUUUCAAAACGUUUUUAUUGAUUAGAAUGAGAACAAGUGCAGCUGAUAGCCAAAAGUUCAAAAACGUUGAUCGUAUAUUAAUACUACAAACAUCAUUUUUUAGUAAUCAUUAAGUUCUCCAAUCUCCAUUAGGAGAGUAUAUUCUAUGAUAGAAGUUACUUUUCGUAAAGCUUGAGGCAGAUUCACUCCAUGAAAUUAAAAAUGCAAAGCUUGUUAUAUACAAGAUAGGUACAGACUAAGGGAGGUGAAUACUCAAUCACAAGGAGCUACAUUGAUCAAAAAAGGUACCACAGCAGAUCAAUUAUUGCUGAAUGUAUUCUGAGUGCUUCUUGCAAUAAUCGAAAGGUGAGAGGUAGUGCUCCGUCUCAAGGUUUAAUUUAAAGUCACUAGUCGAUUCAACUGUAUGAGUGAAAGGCGAAAGUACGUGCAAUCAGGUUUAACAUGUCAAAGAUCACCGAGUCGUCAAAUAGGGGAAUAGGUUGUUUUCCGCAUCCAACAACUGAAAGGGGUUGCAAAGAAGGGUUGAGUUGCGUAAUAGCCGAUUCAUAGGUCAAUAUAUCGUUGGAUUUGAAAUCGAAAUCUCUACCUUAGGCGGAUAGGAAUUGAGACUUUCAAUGGUCAACUAUUCUCUCCUAGUAAUCAAAGCUAACCCCAGAAAUCGGGUAUUCCUUCUUAAGAGGACACUAACACUUUCGAUCUUGCUAGCCGGGGCUCAGACUUUCAAGAUUCAAUCUUUCCCCUUCCAGUCCCAGGAAUCCUUCUUAUAGUAGAAGGUUUACUAUGUCCCCGACUUCUCUUUAUUAAGACAUAGGUUGUCUACUGUAAUUAGAUUAAGAUUGUAAAAACAAAAGCUUGUAAUAUAGCUAGACCAAAUUCAUAUUCAUACUCAAACAAGGAGUCCUAUAGUUUACAACUCUUCUUUAUAUAGUAAUUCGAUCCAUUGCUAUUCACCCCUUCCCCCACAAUCAGUAGGACAUGCUUGCCUAUACAGCUGCAAGAGGUGCAGGGUAUAAUGCUGAAAAUUAAAUGGAAGAAAUGAAAGCAGUUUCAGAAACAAUUAGUAGCUACGACUUAGGGAACAAUGAUCUACCAUACUUGGAGAGCCCAAAACUGGAAAAUUUAGAAAAGAGUACAUGUUCAGACAACUGAGAUCCACACACAAAUUAAGAGGGAGAAUUUAGAUAGAAACCGCAUAAAUAGAGCUUGUAGAUGUAGUGGUUUUCUCCAAUGGUUGAAAGUGUUAAUAGAUUUGUGUUUUGGUAGAGACUUGAGAUUCUGCUGUGCUCAAGAGCUCUUUAGGAGUAUGGUUCUGUUCACGAAAUGGUAAUGUUUACAUAAUAUCUUAACAUAAUGAGAUGCCCUAAAGAGUUAAAUCACCUACAUUCAAGAUUAAACAAAUCCUCCGGUUCAUCAACCGAUAAACCAUAGAUGUUGCCUGAUACAUUCGGAAACACUUUAGUGUGUAAUUUGAAUUGAGAACAAAAUAUAUACAGCUAACAGGAAGGAACAACAAACACUCGGAAAACACCUACAAGUUUCUCCAAGAAAAUUAAUACUGACGAGAAUAGAAGUUCGAUUCAGAUAAUAGAGAUUUAAGCCCGAGUUAAUUGACACAUUCAACUUGGUUUACAAAAAUUCCAGAAGAAUAACUACAGAACACAAUAGAUUUUUCGAGAUACGAAAAAUUCGAACAAAACCAAUACGGAAUUUCAUUUGGGAAAAGCUUUGAUUCAUUAGAUUGUAUCAUACUAAGGCCAGUUACUAAACAAACAUCAAAAACAACAAUCCUUUACAUUGACCCAAAACCCAAAAGAUCCCCAAAUUAAAACCCUAAUUGCUAGUAAACUUGGUGACAGCCUUAGUUCCUUCAGAAACAGCAUGCUUUGCCAAUUCACCAGGUAGCACAAGUCUGACAGCAGUCUGAAUUUCCCUAGAAGUAAUAGUUGGCUUCUUGUUGAUCCUAGCCAAUCUAGAUGAUUCCUGAGCAAGCUUCUCAAAAAUGUCAUUGAUGAAGCUGUUCAUGAUACCCAUAGACUUGCUGGAAAUACCGAUAUCGGGAUGCACCUGCUUCAAAACCUUGAAGAUGUAGAUCUUAUAGGUUUCAACGCUCUUCUUUGACCUCUUCUUCUUCUUGUCGGCGCCGGCAUCCUUUGGGAGCUUCUUUCCGGCCUUAGGCUUCUUCUCAGCAGGAACUUCCUCAGCCUUCUUCUCAUCAACUGGUUUCUUCUCCGCUGGCUUCUUUCCUG
Molecule: long non-coding RNA, 4056 nt
Filed under: Solanum tuberosum (potato)
Lineage: Eukaryota; Viridiplantae; Streptophyta; Magnoliopsida; Solanales; Solanaceae
Description: long non-coding RNA (STUB_LNC006844)
Source: RNAcentral